RNAcentral lists this ribosomal RNA (305 nucleotides) under uncultured bacterium. RNAcentral describes it as "bacterial SSU rRNA". It matches the Rfam family "Bacterial small subunit ribosomal RNA", at positions 500 to 802 of the family's 1533-position model. The record is from RNAcentral.
CCUACGGGAGGCAGCAGCCGCGGUAAUACGUAGGUGGCAAGCGUUAUCCGGAUUUAUUGGGCGUAAAGGGAACGCAGGCGGUCUUUUAAGUCUGAUGUGAAAGCCUUCGGCUUAACCGGAGUAGUGCAUUGGAAACUGGGAGACUUGAGUGCAGAAGAGGAGAGUGGAACUCCAUGUGUAGCGGUGAAAUGCGUAGAUAUAUGGAAGAACACCAGUGGCGAAAGCGGCUCUCUGGUCUGCAACUGACGCUGAGGCUCGAAAGCAUGGGUAGCGAACAGGAUUAGAUACCCGGGUAGUCCAUAGAU